Molecule: ribosomal RNA, 497 nt
Filed under: uncultured bacterium
Lineage: Bacteria
Description: partial 16S ribosomal RNA
Rfam family: Bacterial small subunit ribosomal RNA
Source: RNAcentral
GAUGAACGCUGGCGGCGUGCCUAAUACAUGCAAGUCGAGCGAACAGACGAGGAGCUUGCUCCUCUGACGUUAGCGGCGGACGGGUGAGUAACACGUGGAUAACCUACUUAUAAGACUGGGAUAACUUCGGGAAACCGGAGCUAAUACCGGAUAAUAUAUUGAACCGCAUGGUUCAAUAGUGAAAGACGGUUUUGCUGUCACUUAUAGAUGGAUCCGCGCCGCAUUAGCGAGUUGGUAAGGUAACGGCUUACCAAGGCAACGAUGCGUAGCCGACCUGAGAGGGUGAUCGGCCACACUGGAACUGAGACACGGUCCAGACUCCUACGGGAGGCAGCAGUAGGGAAUCUUCCGCAAUGGGCGAAAGCCUGACGGAGCAACGCCGCGUGAGUGAUGAAGGUCUUCGGAUCGUAAAACUCUGUUGUUGGGGAAGAACAAAUGUGUAAGUAACUAUGCACGUCUUGACGGUACCUAAUCAGAAAGCCACGGCUAACUACGUG